This 102-nucleotide non-coding RNA is filed under the name uncultured Dysosmobacter sp. RNAcentral's name for it is "THF riboswitch". It matches the Rfam family "THF (Tetrahydrofolate) riboswitch aptamer". Rfam says of the family: THF riboswitch presents a pseudoknot that joins P1-P2 and the loop of P3 and two THF binding. Lineage: Bacteria; Bacillati; Bacillota; Clostridia; Eubacteriales; Oscillospiraceae. The record is from RNAcentral.
GCAGAGUAGGCACGCAUGUGUGAAAUAGUGCCGGAAAAACGGGGAGUUGUUUUCCGGACGAAAGGGCAGGAGCCUUGCAGUGUGCGCGCCGCAUCCCGCUGC